RNAcentral lists this ribosomal RNA (256 nucleotides) under uncultured bacterium. RNAcentral describes it as "partial 16S ribosomal RNA". It matches the Rfam family "Bacterial small subunit ribosomal RNA", at positions 524 to 776 of the family's 1533-position model. The record is from RNAcentral.
UACGUAGGGCGCAAGCGUUGUCCGGAAUUAUUGGGCGUAAAGAGCUCGUAGGCGGUUCGGCAAGUCGGAUGUGAAAUCUCCACGCUUAACGUGGAGGGGCCAUUCGAAACUGCCGUGACUCGAGUCCGGUAGGGGAGUGGCGGAAUUCCCGGUGUAGCGGUGAAAUGCGCAGAUAUCAGGAGGAACACCGGUGGCGAAGGCGGAUCUCUGGGCCAUUACUGACGCUGGAGGAGCGAAAGCGUGGGGAGCGAACAGG